Molecule: ribosomal RNA, 257 nt
Filed under: uncultured bacterium
Lineage: Bacteria
Description: partial 16S ribosomal RNA
Rfam family: Bacterial small subunit ribosomal RNA
Source: RNAcentral
GAGAAGCGAAGCGGUGACGUGGAGCAAACCUCAGAAAGCCAAUCUCAGUUCGGAUUGUAGGCUGCAACUCGCCUACAUGAAGUUGGAAUCGCUAGUAAUCGCGAAUCAGAAUGUCGCGGUGAAUACGUUCCCGGGUCUUGUACACACCGCCCGUCACACCACGAGAGUUUACAACACCCGAAGUCAGUGGCCUAACCGCUAGGAGGGAGCUGCCUAAGGUGGGGUAGAUGAUGGGGGUGAAGUCGUAACAAGGUAGC